UACGUAGGGGGCAAGCGUGGUCCGGAAUCAUUGGGCGUAAAGAGCGUGUAGGCGGCUCGAUAAGUCUGCUGUGAAAGUCCAGGGCUCAACCCUGGAAGGCCGGUGGAAACUGUCGGGCUAGAGUCCGGAAGAGGCGAGUGGAAUUCCCGGUGUAGAGGUGAAAUUCGUAGAUAUCGGGAGGAAUACCAGUGGCGAAGGCGCUGGGCUGGACGGUCAUUGACGCUGAGGUGCGAAAGCGUGGGGAGCAAACAGG
RNAcentral lists this ribosomal RNA (253 nucleotides) under uncultured bacterium. Its description in RNAcentral is "partial 16S ribosomal RNA". It matches the Rfam family "Bacterial small subunit ribosomal RNA", at positions 524 to 776 of the family's 1533-position model. The record is from RNAcentral.